Molecule: long non-coding RNA, 1643 nt
Organism: Cyanistes caeruleus (blue tit)
Lineage: Eukaryota; Metazoa; Chordata; Aves; Passeriformes; Paridae
Source: Ensembl
CUCAGGUGAGUGGGCACUCAGUGGUCACUCAGUGGUCACUCAGUGGUCACUCGGAGCAGUCACUCCCGGGAGUGGACACUCGCUGGGCACUCGGUGGUCACAGGUGAGUGGGCACUCAGUGGUCACUCAGUGGUCACUCGGUGGUCACUCAGGUGAGUGGGCACUCAGUGGUCAGUGGUCACUCAGUGGUCACUCAGUGGUCACUCGGUGGUCACUCAGUGGUCACUCCGGUGAGUGGUCAGUGGUCACUCGGAGCGGUCACUCCGGGGAGUGGACACUCGCUGGGCACUCGGUGGUCACUCAGGUGAGUGGGCACAGGUGAGUGGGCACUCAGUGGUCACUCAGUGGUCACUCGGUGGUCACUCAGGUGAGUGGGCACUCGGUGGUCACUCAGUGGUCACUCCGGUGAGUGGUCAGUGGGCACUCGGAGCGGUCACUCCGGUGAGUGGACACUCGCUGGGCACUCGGUGGUCACUCAGGGUCACUCAUGCUCCGGCCCUGGCUCCUCGUGGCUCUGCUGCUGCUCCGGGGGGACCCGGGGGGGUCUCAGGGGGACCCCCGGGAGAGCCUUCAUCACCUCCAUCAUCAUCCUCAUCACCCUCAUCAUCCUCGGGAGGAGGAGACACAGCCUGACCUUCAUCACCCUCCUCAUCCUCAUCCUCAUCAUCCUCGGGAGGAAGAGCCGCAGCCUGACCUUCAUCAUCAUCAUCCUCAUCAUCAUCACCCUCAUCAUCCUCGGGAGGAAGAGCAGCAGCCCGACCUUCAUCACCUUCAUCACCCUCAUCAUCCUCGGCCGGGGGAGGAAGAGCAGCAGCCUGACCUUCAUCACCCUCCUCAUCCUCGGCCGGGGGAGGAAGGCCGCAGCCCCCCCCGAGAGCACGAGGAGGGGGGCGGGGAGGAAGAGCAGAGCCUUCAUCACCAUCACCACCAUCACCAUCAUCAUCAUCAGCAGCAGCAGCAGCAGCAGCGGAGGGAUGAAGGCUCCGCCGGCGACCGCCACCAUCAUCAUCCUCAUCAGCAGGAGGAGGGGGAGGAAGAGCCCCUGGGCCACCAUCAUCAUCAUCAUCAUCCUCACCAUCAUCAUCCUCAUCAGCAGGAGGGGGAGGAAGAGCCCCUGGGCCACCAUCAUCAUCCUCACCAUCAUCAUCCUCACCAUCAGGAGGGGGAGGAAGAGCCCCCAGACCACCAUCAUCAUCCUCACCAUCAUCACCAUCAGGAGGGGGAGGAAGGCCGCCAGGGCGAGGAUGACGAAGGCCACCGCCGUCGCCAUGACGAUGAGGAUGGUGAAGGCCACCGGGGCGAGGAAGGCCAUCGCCACGGCGACGAGGGUGACGAGGGUGACGAAGGCCACCGGAGCGAUGAAGGCCAGCGCCGUCACCGUGAUGAGGAUGAUGAAGGCCACCGCCAUCGCCAUGACGACCACGAGGAGGAUGAAGGCCACCGCGGUGAUGAGGAUGAUGAAGGCCACCGGAGCGAUGAAGGCCAGCGCCGUCACCGUGACGAUGAUGAGGAUGAUGAAGGCCACCACGGUGAUGAAGAUGAUGAAGGCCACCACGGUGACGAAGAGGAGGAUGAAGGCCACCGCCCCCAUGAGGAUGAGGAGGAUGAAGGCCAGCCCCUCCCCCACCAAGGCCGCAGCCCCU